AGUUUGAUUAUGGCUCAGGACGAACGCCUGGCGGCGUGCCUAAUACAUGCAAGUAGAACGCCUAAGGAGGAGCUUGCCUCUUCGGAAGAGUUUGCGAACGGGUGAGUAACGCGUAGGUAACCUGCCUGGUAGCGGGGGAUAACUAUUGGAAACGAUAGCUAAUACCGCAUAAUAGUAGAUGUUUGCAUGACAUUUGCUUAAAAGGUGCAAUUCGCAUCACUACCAGAUGGACCUGCGUUGUAUUAGCUAGUUGGUGAGGUAACGGCUCACCAAGGCAACGAUACAUAGCCGACCUGAGAGGGUGAUCGGCCACACUGGGACUGAGACACGGCCCAGACUCCUACGGGAGGCAGCAGUAGGGAAUCUUCGGCAAUGGACGGAAGUCUGACCGAGCAACGCCGCGUGAGUGAAGAAGGUUUUCGGAUCGUAAAGCUCUGUUGUAAGAGAAGAACGAGUGUGAGAGUGGAAAGUUCACACUGUGACGGUAUCUUACCAGAAAGGGACGGCUAACUACGUGCCAGCAGCCGCGGUAAUACGUAGGUCCCGAGCGUUGUCCGGAUUUAUUGGGCGUAAAGCGAGCGCAGGCGGUUAGAUAAGUCUGAAGUUAAAGGCUGUGGCUUAACCAUAGUACGCUUUGGAAACUGUUUAACUUGAGUGCAAGAGGGGAGAGUGGAAUUCCAUGUGUAGCGGUGAAAUGCGUAGAUAUAUGGAGGAACACCGGUGGCGAAAGCGGCUCUCUGGCUUGUAACUGACGCUGAGGCUCGAAAGCGUGGGGAGCAAACAGGAUUAGAUACCCUGGUAGUCCACGCCGUAAACGAUGAGUGCUAGGUGUUAGACCCUUUCCGGGGUUUAGUGCCGCAGCUAACGCAUUAAGCACUCCGCCUGGGGAGUACGACCGCAAGGUUGAAACUCAAAAGGAAUUGACGGGGGCCCGCACAAGCGGUGGAGCAUGUGGUUUAAAUUCGAAGCAAACGCGAAGAACCUUACCAGGUCUUGACAUCCCUCUGACCGCUCUAGAGAUAGAGCUUUCCUUCGGGACAGAGGUGACAGGUGGUGCAUGGUUGUCGUCAGCUCGUGUCGUGAGAUGUUGGGUUAAGUCCCGCAACGAGCGCGAACCCCUAUUGUUAGUUGCCAUCAUUCAGUUGGGCACUCUAGCGAGACUGCCGGUAAUAAACCGGAGGAAAGGUGGGGAUGAACGUCAAAUCAUCGUGCCCCUUAUGACCUGGGCUACGCGCGUGCUACGAAUGGCUGGGACGAACGAAGUCGCAAGCCGGUGACGGGAGCUGAACGUCUUAAAGCCGGUCUCGGUUUCGGAUUGGAGGCUGCGGCUCGCCUGACAUAAGUCGGAAAUCGCGAGUGAUUCGCGAGUCGGGGCGGCCGCGGUAAAGACGUUCCCCGGGCCUGGGCGCUCCCGCCCGU
This 1419-nucleotide ribosomal RNA is filed under the name uncultured bacterium. Its description in RNAcentral is "bacterial SSU rRNA". It matches the Rfam family "Bacterial small subunit ribosomal RNA". The record is from RNAcentral.